GCGCGGCCGGAUCGCGGAGGGAAAGAUCGCGGCGCCGGCAGAGCGCCAUGGCGAGUUCGUCGGUCGCGCGGCGCGC
Molecule: transfer RNA, 76 nt
Filed under: Betaproteobacteria bacterium
Lineage: Bacteria; Pseudomonadati; Pseudomonadota; Betaproteobacteria
Description: tRNA-Cys
Source: RNAcentral